GAUGAACGCUGGCGGCGUGCCUAAUACAUGCAAGUCGAGCGAACAGACGAGGAGCUUGCUUCUCUGACGUUAGCGGCGGACGGGUGAGUAACACGUGGAUAACCUACCUAUAAGACUGGGAUAACUUCGGGAAACCGGAGCUAAUACCGGAUAAUAUAUUGAACCGCAUGGUUCAAUAGUGAAAGACGGUUUUGCUGUCACUUAUAGAUGGAUCCGCGCCGCAUUAGCUAGUUGGUAAGGUAACGGCUUACCAAGGCAACGAUGCGUAGCCGACCUGAGAGGGUGAUCGGCCACACGGGAACUGAGACACGGUCCAGACGCCUACGGGAGGCAGCAGUAGGGAAUCUUCCGCAAUGGGCGAAAGCUUGAAGGAGCAACGCCGAGUGAGUGAUGAAGGUCUUCGGAUCGUAAAACUCUGUUAUUAGGGAAGAACAAAUGUGUAAGUAACUAUGCACGUCUUGACGGUACCUAAUCAGAAAGCCACGGCUAACUACGUG
RNAcentral lists this ribosomal RNA (497 nucleotides) under uncultured bacterium. RNAcentral's name for it is "partial 16S ribosomal RNA". It matches the Rfam family "Bacterial small subunit ribosomal RNA", at positions 28 to 507 of the family's 1533-position model. The record is from RNAcentral.